UCGCUAGUAAUCGCGGAUCAGCAUGCCGCGGUGAAUACGUUCCCGGGCCUUGUACACACCGCCCGUCACACCACGAGAGUUGGCAACACCCGAAGUCGGUGAGGUAACCUUUUUGGAUCCAGCCGCCGAAGGUGGGGCCAAUGAUUGGGGUGAAGUCGUAACAAGGUAGCCGUAUCGGAAGGUGCGGCUGGAUCACCUCCUUU
This 203-nucleotide ribosomal RNA is filed under the name Halobacillus litoralis. Its description in RNAcentral is "partial 16S ribosomal RNA". It matches the Rfam family "Bacterial small subunit ribosomal RNA", at positions 1332 to 1533 of the family's 1533-position model. Lineage: Bacteria; Bacillati; Bacillota; Bacilli; Caryophanales; Bacillaceae. The record is from RNAcentral.